CGCAAUGGGCGAAAGCCUGACGGAGCGACGCCGCUUGAUGGAUGAAGUCCUUCGGGACGUAAACAUUUUUUUUGCGUGAGAAAGUUAUUGAUGUUAGCGCCUGAAUAAGGGGCUCCUAACUCUGUGCCAGCAGGAGCGGUAAUACCGAGGCCCCAAGCCUUAUCCGGAAUCACUGGGCGUAAAGGGUGUGUAGGCGGUUUUAUUAGUCUCUCGUGAAAGAUCUUGGGCUUAACCCCGGAGACGCGGGGGAAACGGUAGGGCUUUGAGGACGUAAGAGGUACAGGGAACUCAUGGUGUAGGGGUGAAAUCCGUUGAUAUCAUGGGGAACACCAAAUGCGAGGGCACUGUACUGGUACGCUCCCGACGCGAAACACGAAAGCGU
Molecule: ribosomal RNA, 382 nt
Filed under: uncultured organism
Description: bacterial SSU rRNA
Rfam family: Bacterial small subunit ribosomal RNA
Source: RNAcentral